This 513-nucleotide ribosomal RNA is filed under the name Triticum aestivum (bread wheat). Its description in RNAcentral is "partial small subunit ribosomal RNA". Lineage: Eukaryota; Viridiplantae; Streptophyta; Magnoliopsida; Poales; Poaceae. The record is from RNAcentral.
CUUAACCAGGCGCUGCUCACGCUGCUGCCCAAGCGCGUGGACUCUCGCUGUCUCGGAGACUACAGGCCGAUAAGCCUCAUCCACCUCGUCGCCAAGAUCUUCGCGAAGGUCCUCUCGCUGCGUCUCGCGCCCAAGCUCAAUGCCCUCGUCAGCGCGAACCAGAACGCGUUCAUCCCUGGACGCUCAUUACAUGACAACUUCGUCCUCGUCCGGCAGUCCGCGCGCCUCCUCCAUCAGCUCAAGGCCUCCCGCUUGCUGUUGAAGCUCGACUUGGCACGGGCCUUCGACUCGAUCAGCUGGCCGUUCCUUUUCGAGGUAUUGCGCCAAUACGGAUUCGGCAACCGCUUCCUGGACUGGCUGGCCAUUCUGCUUUCGUCGGCCAGCACCAAGGUGCUCCUGAACGGCAAGCCCGGCCCGACCAUUUGGCAUCGCUGUGGGUUUCGACAGGGCGAUCCCCUCUCGCCCCAGCUAUUUGUCCUCACUGCUGACACGCUUAGCCGUCUCCUUCGCUGA